GAUUACGUGAAGAUAUUGACAGCCGCCGGUGUUGACGUCGAGAUGGAGCUGAUAAAAGGGGUACCACACACCUUCUGGACUUUACCAGGAGCCUUCAAAGAGAACUGUCAGCGUUCAUACGAGCGUGUAGCGGCAUUCAUCCGAAAACAAUCCUUGUGAACCGGAUGGGACGAUUUUUGUGUUGCUUUAACUCACUCUCAUUUGUAUAUUUUGUAAAAACAUCUUCCUGAUAUUUGAUACUGACUCAUUUUUUCAUCCUUACAUGUACACAUGUAUUUGAACAAAAGUUACAUACACUUUAUUGCAUAGAAAUAAUCACGCGACUUGAUUAACUUAGAUUGUGAAAUGUUUUCUUAAGAUUUAAGAAAUAUAAGUAUACUACGUUUCCAAACUCAAGCCUGCAUCGCCUAAGUCAAAGAACGCCGGAAAAGGUGCUUUCAAUGCUUGAACCCAAGACCUCUGGCUGAAGAAGCCAGCCAUCAGACUUAAGGUGCCCAGAAUAUAUUUUGAUGAAAAUAAUUAUUAGAUUCGGAGAGAAAUUUAAUUUUGUUAUGGCAUUUCAA
This is a long non-coding RNA of Dreissena polymorpha, 563 nucleotides long. RefSeq lists it as uncharacterized. Lineage: Eukaryota; Metazoa; Mollusca; Bivalvia; Myida; Dreissenidae. The transcript is spliced from 2 exons. The record is from RefSeq and is a predicted model, not a curated record.